Molecule: ribosomal RNA, 81 nt
Filed under: uncultured bacterium
Lineage: Bacteria
Description: partial 16S ribosomal RNA
Source: RNAcentral
UGAGCAAUCUGCCCUUCUCAUCGGAAUAAGCGUUGGAAACGACGUCUAAUGCCGAAUACGACCUCCUUUCGCAUGAUCGGG